GGGGGUGAUAAGGCUUCGACAGGGAUAAGAAGUCCAGAACUGCACACCAAGGUCCGGAUCCCUUGUAAAACUAUCCGGAAAAAAAUAAGCGCCAACGAAAGCUUGGCUCUGGCUGCUUAAAGACAGCCAACGCCUCCUUACUCUUUGCCCUGGAGAGUAAGAGGGGUGUUAUAAAACAGGGCUGGUCUUGCUCUUAGCAAAGGAGGGUAAGACGAGAUAAAAAACUUUGCUGAGUCUGUUUUCUAUCCUGCCUGUCGGAGAGAAAACAGACGAGAUAAAAAAGACAGGCUAAGUGUGUAGAUGUUCUGGUUUUCUUAUCUCUGGACGAGGGUUCGAUUCCCUCCACCUCCACCA
Molecule: transfer-messenger RNA, 354 nt
Filed under: Candidatus Aerophobota bacterium
Lineage: Bacteria; Candidatus Aerophobota
Rfam family: transfer-messenger RNA
About the family: Bacterial tmRNA, also known as 10Sa RNA or SsrA, is named for its dual tRNA and mRNA-like properties.
Source: RNAcentral